ACCACUAGUCCCUUCUCAGAAUAUGUGAAUCUGCUGCCAUUUUGUUUCUUCAGUUUUGUUUUGUUUUUAUACUCCACAAAUGAGUCACGUCAUUUGGUACUUGUCUUUCUCUGACUGGCUUAUUUCACUGAGCAUAAUACCUUCUAGCUCCAUCCAUGUUGUUGCAAAUGGUCAGACUUCUUUUCUUUUUAUGGCUGAAUAAUAUUCUUGUGUGUAUGUACCACAUCUUCUUUAUCCAUUGGUGGACACUCAGGUUGCUUCCGUAUCUUGGCUAUUGUAAAUAGUGUUGCAAUAAAUAUAGGGGUACAGAAGUCUUUUUGAUUCAGGCAUCUUGUUUCCCUUGGAUAAAUUCCUAGGAGUGGAAUGACUGGCUCAAUGGUAUUUCUAUUUUUAGUUUUUUGAGGAACCUCCAUACUGCUUUCCACAAUGGUUGAACUAAUUUACAUUCCCACCGGCAGAAUAGGAGGGUUCCCCUUUCUCUGUAUCCUCGCUGGCAUUUGUUAUUCUUUGUCUUUUGGAUGUUGGCCAUUCUAACUGGUGUAGGUGAUAUCUUAUUUAUUGUGGUUUAAUUUGCAUUUCCCUGAUGAUUAGCGAUAUGAAGCAUCUUUUCAUAUGCCUAUUGGCCAUCUGAAUUUCUUCUUCGGAGAAGUGUCUGUUCAGAUUCUCCGUCCACUUUUUAAUCGGUUAUUUGUUUUUUAGUUGUUGGGGCAUGUGAGUUCUUUAUAUAUUUUGGAUGGUCACCCCUUAAUGGAUCAAUUGUUUAUGAAUAUAUUCUCCCAUACUAUAGCAUGUCUUUUUGUUCUGCUGGUGGUGUCCUUUGCUGUACAAAAGCUUUUUAGUUUGAUGUAGUUCCACUUGUUCAUUUCUCAUUUUGUUUCCCUUGCCCAAGAUUUGUUUAGGAAAAAAAGUUGCUCAUGUUUAUGUUCAAGAGAUUUUUGCCUAUGUUUUCUUCUCUGGGUUUUAUCCCUUCCCUUAUCUUAACAGCCAAGUUGCUAUCUCCCAGGAAGUGAACCCUUCUUUGGAGAAGUCCACUGGGAUACAAAAGCCCCACAGAGGUCUUCCAACUAGCUUUUUAGAUUUCACUCAACUAUGAAUGCCCAAACAUGGCUAAUUAAUCCUUUAAGAUAAGCCUAUGAGAGAACAAACAAAAAUAAGAGAAAUUUAAAAGAUACAGAGAUCAGAGCAAAUAGCAGAAACAAGAACUAUAAAUAAUAUUGAGACAAGAAUAUUGCAUCUAUAAAAAAAUUCGGCUGCCAUAUAAAGGAAAAAGGAGCUCCUGAAGAAAAACUAGAAAAUAGAGAAAUGAUUUCUGUUUGUCAGCCUAAUAGUCUUCUUUGAUAAUUUACCUUUAGUAGUAAAUAAAAUUUUGUACAUGAAACUCAUGAUUUAUCUGCAUAUUAUAAACAUGAACUACUAUAUUGAUGUUUUAUGUUAUAAAAUGUAUACAAAUCAGAAAUUAAAAAGAAUGAGAUGAAAAGUUGAGAAAUUCUUAAUAUUUCCUCCCCACCCUAAUAGGUCUUGUCCAAGCCACUCAGGGAACCACUUUUUAAGUAACAUCAAGCAGGUGUUAAUACAUUAAAGAGGAGGUGUAAGGGAUGUCCAAAGCCAGCACACUGUCAGAAAUGAGAAGUCUCUAUCAAGGGGAGAAAACAUAGAAGUUUAAAGGAAAUUUUAGUCAAAUAGUAGAGUUAAGACAAUUUGCUAUACAGUGGGAGUACCAAUGAAUGUAGGAUGGUAUAAAAAUUGGUGAGUGAGAAUCAUGAAGUAUCAUGGCACUGCAUUAACAAGAAAGAGUUAAGCUACAUAAAACAGUAAUCUGCCUAAGGUGGCAUGGAAAUACAUAUUUUAGAAAGCUUUUGAUGCAUUUAUAAAACUAUAUUUCAGUCCUUGAAAGAAUGAAUCUCAGCAAUUCCAAUAAAAAGAGUUGAGCUAAAAAUCCUUUGUUUAUUCAGUUUCUAACAUAGGGACUUGCAUAAUAUGUGCUUAGCAAAUGUUUACCAAAUGAAAGAAUGCCAACUUACAAUUAUACUUGUGUGGUACAGUAAUAUCUAGUACAGUAACAUAUAUAGUGCAGUAAUAUAGUACGUAAGUGGCAGUCAAACUUCUGGCAAUUAAAACUAUUAGCAACCAGGCCACGAAUUCAAUGAAAGAAAAGAAUGAAAUCAAAAAGGAAAGCUAAAAACUUCAAGUCAUUUCCUCCUUAACCUCUUAAGUAUAAAAAUAAGGCAGCAAGACAGAAGUAAGGGCACAAAGAACACUCAACAAUCUAGGGAAGGAAAAAUUAAAGCCCAGGAGUAACAGAGGUACACGAAAAAUCAUAGCCAUCUAGGAAUUCUUGAUGGCAACAAAGAGCCUUGUAUAUCUUCCACGGGGCUAGUUAACCACUCUUCAAAUACUCCUUAUACACUUACUAUGUGCCUGAAGCCAUGUGUGGUCAAUGAGACAUAAAACGGAAGUCUGAGAGGAGGCUACAGAUUGCACGUUCCUUCUGCCUGGAAAAAGGGUAAGAUGCAGCUGGAACUACUUCUGUCUUCUUUCUGCUUUGAAGGGAUGACUUUCAUCUAAAAUUUAUCUUGACAAUGUUAUCCAUUUUAUAACAAGCCUGAAUAUGAAAGCCAAUAAAUACACUUAGGGUGGCAGAGAGCAGAGCCUAGAUGGUAUCACUGAGGAGAUGAACUACCUCUGGUUUCUUUUAUGUAAGAAGAAUAUAUCCCUAUUUGUUCAAGGCUCUCUUAGUUUGGUCACUUACAACUAAACACAUUUCUAGGUGCUAUUCAAGACUCUAAAUGCCUAUUAGAGACCCUGCCUCCAAGGAGUUAGAGGUCUAAGAAAGGCAAGUAAACAAGUAUUCAUGUGACUCAGGUAAGUAAGAGUUCUAAUAGAAUAGAUGUGGAAGAAACCAAUUUUAACUAGGGAAGCAAAGGGUCAUCUUCAGAGCUUGAGAUGUGUAAGUAUUUAAAAACUAAGUAGGAAUAAGAAAGCCAGGAAAGGGAAAGGGUAUUUCUAAGCAGGGAGCAGCAUCUGCAAACUACUAGUACUUGGAAGGAGCCUUUGAAGAAGGGACUGUAAUUAAGCUCAGUUCACCAGAUGGUACUCAUCACGACCAGAAGUCAUCAAGGAAAAGGUAAAUUAUACUUAAUAUAUACUUUAAGAAGUUGUUUUAAGAAGAUGGGCAAUAUGUAAAAUUAUUUCUAAGUAAUUUUUGCUUAAAGUAUUUAUAAGACUUAAAAAGGUGGCACUUUAAUGGCAAGAUUUAGUCAUAUGUAACAAUAUAAGGACAAUACUUCUUGAUAAUAUAUUAUUAUUAUGACCUUUCUGACACAUAUUUUCUUUAUUCUUUUAAUUUUUAAAAAACAGAGAUUGCAGAAGUAACUCCUGAGCAGCUGGUUGUCAUAAAAGUUUCAAGUAAAUUCAUUUCCAAUUUCCUCCUCAUAGGUGAUCAAUUUAGUACAUCCUUCCAAACCUUUUCCUUUGCAUCCCCAUGUAUGGACAUAUACAUAUUUUAGAUACAUUCACAUAUUCAUUAUUGUACAAAUAAUUUGAUAUUGCUAUAUGACUUUUCACAUAAUACGUAUUGAAGAUCUUGUUAUUAUGAAAUUAAGAAAAUUGUUAACAUUUAGUUAAAAGUUGAUUAUUUGAUUUUUAAAGUCCCAAUUAAUGAAGUCUUCCGGUUGGUUAAAGAUGAAAACACUAGCUAAGGCCAAAUAAUAACAUAUAAAUAAGUGGACAUUCCUAGCUAAUAUUGCUAGGGAAACAAUUAGCAGCUUCAUUUACUAAGGGGGGAAAGAUUGUGGCGGGUGGGGAGGCAGUGCAGUAAGGAGAGGGAGACUCUUAAAUUCUUAAAUAGAGGCAGUGGCCCUUGAGAUCCUCUGAGAAAAUCAGGGGGAUCCAAUCCAGCUUCCCGACUUAUAAAUCAUUAUUUGCCAUUAACCAGUUUCAUCAAAGGUGUCAUGUCACUGGUCUUUUCUCUGAAGGGUUAGACAGAUCUCUGGUUCUCUAAACUUGGAGCGACUGAAAUUUGGGUUUAGAUUCAAACCUGCUUCUUGGGCUCUGCCCAAGCUCACAGUUCUCCAGUUAAAACACCAAAACCAGCGUGUAUAUUUAAGUUCAAUUCAUUCAAUAAAUACUCAAGUAUCUAAUAUCUAGAAGGCACUAUGCAUGGACUUUGGGAUAACUGAAUCCCAGUUAUUAGGUGUGGUAAAAUAUACUUUUCUACAUCUCAGUUUACUGAUCUGUUAGACAAGGAUACCACUAGUCUGUAGCACUGCUGUAAGGAUUGAGAUGUUGUACUCAAAGCACAUGGAACACAGGAGGUACUCAAGAAAUGUUAGCUCUCAUCCUCUACUCUUUCCUGCAAAAAGGACUUACAGAAGCCAAAACAAAACAUUUAAAACAAUUCAUAUUUGUAAAUUUAGGCAUAAAAACAUCCACAAUUAAAGGAUUUGUCAAUAUUUGAUUUUUCCAUAUGAAAGUCCAUAUCAAGGAAAACUCUUGCGACCUGGAAUCUAUCAUAAAUUCAACCACUCCUGAAUUGAAUUUGAAUUUGAAUUUGCAAUGAACUACAAUAAACGUGCAGCUCUGCUAAGCAUAUACGUAAAACAAGUAAGAUGGCAAAGGACUGUCUACCACACCUACCAAAGAAAAUAAGCUCUUGGGUAAAUAAAAACUAUUCUAAAAUAAUUUCAAAUUUAUAGAAAAGCUGCAAAAAUAGUAUACUCUACUUAGAUUCUACUUAAGGUAUUGUCCCAUUUGCCUUAUUACCUCUUUUUCUAAAUACACAGAUUUUUUUUCUGAGCCACGUUUAUCAUGCUCCUUUAUCCCUAAACACUUGCAUUGCUUAAGAACAUGGACAUUGUCUUAUAGAAUCAGUAGUCAUCAAUCUCAGCAAGUUUACCAUUUUUAAGUUUAUUUUCUAUGGUCCAACUUUUGUCAACUGUCUUAGCACUGCCCUUGGCAGCUUUUCCCUCUACUACCAAAUCCAGACCAGAAUCCCCUAUUGCACUUAGUUGCCAUGUCUCCUUACAUAGCAUCUGAUAUGCUGUUUACAAAAUGAACGUUGCUCAAAAUAGAUUAGAAAAAUUAUACAUAUACUACAAAAAUGCAGUUGAUGUAAAUUCUAUUUCAGCAUUUUGUCCUUUCCUUUUCACAAAACAGUUGUUAGUAAUGAUGUUUUUACAGUUUCAAAGAAUUUAUCAAAGCACUCUUUAAACCUCAAAGGAAAUAUUCAAGAACGAGGAAAACUUAACUGCAAUUAAAAAUGAAGGCAAUGGAUAUCAGUUCCAACCAAACUGUUGGGCCGUAUUUUAUGUGUAUUGGGCACUACUUUGGAACUUAACAAGGCAGGUAAAGGAGGACACGCUGUACUUACCUCUCGGGGGUUAGGGGCAUUGCAGGGGAGGAUAAGAGGAAUUUUUGCUUUUUUACUCCAUGAAUUUCUGUACUGUUUUAAUUUCUGACAGUAAGCAAGCACAGUUCUUACUUAAUAAUAAGAUAAAUUAAAAAGACAAAACUGGAUGACGGGCUGGAUUUUUAAUGUGCGGGGUUAAACUGAAUAUCGAAGUUCAUGUGUUCUGCUUUGUUUUCUUCGUCUCAAGAGAAGAUAGUGAUAUCUCCCCCUAACUAAAUCAAGGAGACGUCGGAAAGGUUAAGCAGUGCCUGAACUACUAUUUUAGGGAGAAAGAGCCAGCAGAAUGUUCCCCAGAGAUCAGAAAAAGCUCUCCUGUGAACUGCUGGCAGUGCCAAGGUUAAUGGUCUGCCUCGAGAACCAGAAAUUCACGCAGAACCUUCCUGAAUUUUAAGAGCAUUCAUUCAGCAGCGGGCAACAGAGGAGCCAAUGAAAGCGAGGGGCGGUCUAGGUGUAGAGGGAGAGAGGACGCAGGGCUUCGGGGCGCGCGCAGACCAAGGAGGGCGACCUGGGCUGACAGCCGCAUAGUAGGGACGCCCGGGCCCCGCGCACACCGCGGCUGCGGGGCGGCGGUCGAGGGUGAGUGUCCCGAGCCGCAGGACUGGUGGCUGCCGUGCAGACCGGCGAGCUGGCUAACUGACGAGCGCAGGAGCGGGAGAGCGCGGCUCUGGAGGUGGGAGCCUUAAUCAUGAUGCUUGUCCCAUAUGACCUUCAGCAUUUUUGAAGAGGAGAAGACAAUUACUUUGCAGAAUGUCCAUCAGUUUGGGUUGAAACCAGAAAACUCCCAUUUCCAGACUCCUUGCAGCAUGUGACCUGGGCUUCACCAAUCAGCUCUAUCCAGGUGUGACUUAAGGCAUCAGAUGGAUUAUCUGCAAAGGCACUGAUAAUGGCUAUGAGGAAUAAAUACUGCAGAUGGAGCAAAUCAAAGAGUCAAAUUACAAAGCCAAACCGAAGAGUCAUGAAAAGGAGGGAGAAGCAGAAAGGAAGGAAAAGGACAAUUACUGAAGGAAAAUGAGCAGUUGAUUAUGAAAAAGAAUAUCUUCUGCUGUUUGAAUAAAGAUCAAAGAGCUUUCAUUGGUGGCUCCACACAUGGCUGGGACUCUGAGCAGCAAGUCCCAAAGUCAAGAAAGUAAAAGGAACUUAGACUUUAACUAUUAGUAGUAAUGAGAAUGUACUAAAUAUCAACAACUCAUUUACCAGGCAAUGUCAUUUCCCAAGCAUGUUCACAUUUAUCAUAGGUAAAAUGUUUUCAUGAACACUGUUUUCAACAUGUUUGCAGAAGCUAUUUUCGCCUAGGUAACAAAUGGUUCACUGAAAUUGCUGGUGUGCUGAUCUGGUUUUGAAGAAUUCUAUAAUAAGGAAAAAUUCUGUGGAACAGAUGGAAUGAGAAGGCCCUAGACACAGAACAGGCAUAUCUGGUAAUGACAGUGUUCUUUUGAUAUAGUAUUAUGUUUUAUGUUUUACAAGUAUUAGUAUGCAAGGAACUCAGGCAGGAGCAGGAAAGAGGAAGUGAGUAGGAAUAAUACUUCAUAUUUGAAGAGGCUUUAUACCUGCCCAAGUACUCAGACCUCAUCUAGCAGCAAGUAUUAUCCAAAUUCUACUGAUGAAAAACAUGCUUCUAAGAAAGAUGUGUUACAAAUGACAGAAAAUCCAUCUCAAAGUGGCUUAAGAAAUGAAAGGUAUGUGUCUUUCUGUGUGUGCUGUGUGUGCGCGUGCGUGUGUG
Long non-coding RNA from Manis pentadactyla (Chinese pangolin), 7127 nucleotides. RefSeq lists it as uncharacterized. Lineage: Eukaryota; Metazoa; Chordata; Mammalia; Pholidota; Manidae. The transcript is spliced from 4 exons. The record is from RefSeq and is a predicted model, not a curated record.